RNAcentral lists this ribosomal RNA (402 nucleotides) under uncultured bacterium. RNAcentral's name for it is "bacterial SSU rRNA". It matches the Rfam family "Bacterial small subunit ribosomal RNA", at positions 975 to 1375 of the family's 1533-position model. The record is from RNAcentral.
CUGGUCUUGACAUCCACGGAAGUUUUCAGAGAUGAGAAUGUGCCUUCGGGAACCGUGAGACAGGUGCUGCAUGGCUGUCGUCAGCCCGUGUCGUGAGAUGUUGGGUUAAGUCCCGCAACGAGCGCAACCCUUAGGUUUAGUUGCCAGCACAUAAAGGCGGGCACUCUAGAUCGACUGCCGGUGACAAACCGGAGGAAGGUGGGGAUGACGUCAAAUCAUCAUGCCCCUUAUGACCUGGGCUACACACGUACUACAAUGGCCAGUACAACGGGAAGCGAAGCCGCGAGGUGGAGCGAAUCCUAUCAAAGCUGGUCUCAGUUCGGAUUGCAGGCUGCAACUCGCCUGCAUGAAGUCGGAAUUGCUAGUAAUCGCGGAUCAGCAAGCCGCGGUGAAUACGUUCCC